This 400-nucleotide ribosomal RNA is filed under the name uncultured bacterium. Its description in RNAcentral is "bacterial SSU rRNA". It matches the Rfam family "Bacterial small subunit ribosomal RNA", at positions 976 to 1380 of the family's 1533-position model. The record is from RNAcentral.
AGGGCUUGACAUGCGCGUGAAGCGGCGGAGACGCCGUGGCCGAGAGGAGCGCGCACAGGUGGUGCAUGGCUGUCGUCAGCUCGUGCCGUGAGGUGUUGGGUUAAGUCCCGCAACGAGCGCAACCCCCGCCGCGUGUUGCCAGCAAUUCGGUUGGGCACCCGCGCGGGACCGCCGGCGUCAAGCCGGAGGAAGGUGGGGACGACGUCAAGUCAUCAUGCCCCUUAUGUCCUGGGCCGCACACGUGCUACAAUGGCCGGCACAGCGGGAUGCGACCGCGCGAGCGGGAGCGGACCCCUCAAAGCCGGCCCCAGUUCGGAUCGGAGGCUGCAACCCGCCUCCGUGAAGUCGGAGUUGCUAGUAAUCGCGGAUCAGCACGCCGCGGUGAAUGCGUUCCCGGGCC